UGUGGCGAUUCCUCAAGGAUCUAGAACCAGAAAUACCAUUUGACUCAGCAAUCCCAUUACUGGGUAUAUACCCAAAGGAUUAUAAAUCAUUCUACUAUAAAGACAGAUGCACACGUAUGUUUACUGCAGCACUAUUCACAAUGGCAAAGACUUGGAACCAACCCAAAUGUCCAUCAAUGAUAGACUGGAUAAAGAAAAUGUGGCACCUAUACACCAUGGAAUACUUUGUAGCAAAUAAAUGUCCUUAUAUUUUAAGUUGCUAAUAGUUUGGUUUCCUAUGAUUCGACAUUAAAAACACCCAUAAGUAAUACAUUCACUAAAUACGCUUAUAUGGCAGUGUUUUGACCCAGGUUUGACUGGAGACAAUGCUUGAAAUUUAUGUCACUUACCAUAAUA
This 396-nucleotide long non-coding RNA is filed under the name Pan troglodytes (chimpanzee). RNAcentral describes it as "long non-coding RNA NONPTRT001657". The record is from RNAcentral. Lineage: Eukaryota; Metazoa; Chordata; Mammalia; Primates; Hominidae.